AUUGAACGCUGGCGGCAGGCCUAACACAUGCCAGUCGAGCGGAGCGGCGAACGGGUGAGUAAUGCCUAGGAAUCUGCCUGGUACUGGGGGAUAACGUCCGGAACCGGGCGCUACUACCGCAUACUCUCAGAUGAGCCUAUGUGGGCUUAGCUAGUUGGUGGGGGAAAGGCCUACCAACGCGACGAUCCCUAACUGGUCUGAGAGGAGGAUCAGUCACACUGGAACUGAGACACGGGCCAGACUCCUACGGGAGGCAGCAGUGGGGAAUAUUGGACAAGGGGCGAAAGCCUGAUCCAGCCAUGCCGCGUGUGUGAAGAAGGUCUUCGGAUUGUAAAGCACUUUAAGUUGGGAGGCGUUACCAACAGAAUAAGCACCGGCUAACAACGUGCCAGCAGCCGCGGUAAUAC
This 407-nucleotide ribosomal RNA is filed under the name uncultured bacterium. Its description in RNAcentral is "partial 16S ribosomal RNA". It matches the Rfam family "Bacterial small subunit ribosomal RNA", at positions 30 to 526 of the family's 1533-position model. The record is from RNAcentral.